Molecule: ribosomal RNA, 429 nt
Filed under: Chloroflexota bacterium
Lineage: Bacteria; Bacillati; Chloroflexota
Description: Chloroflexi bacterium partial 16S ribosomal RNA
Rfam family: Bacterial small subunit ribosomal RNA
Source: RNAcentral
UGGGGAAUAUUGCACAAUGGGCGCAAGCCUGAUGCAGCCAUGCCGCGUGUGUGAAGAAGGCCUUCGGGUUGUAAAGCACUUUCAGCGGGGAGGAAGGCGUUAAGGUUAAUAACCUUGGCGAUUGACGUUACCCGCAGAAGAAGCACCGGCUAACUCCGUGCCAGCAGCCGCGGUAAUACGGAGGGUGCAAGCGUUAAUCGGAAUUACUGGGCGUAAAGCGCACGCAGGCGGUCUGUCAAGUCGGAUGUGAAAUCCCCGGGCUCAACCUGGGAACUGCAUUCGAAACUGGCAGGCUAGAGUCGUGUAGAGGGGGGUAGAAUUCCAGGUGUAGCGGUGAAAUGCGUAGAGAUCUGGAGGAAUACCGGUGGCGAAGGCGGCCCCCUGGACAAAGACUGACGCUCAGGUGCGAAAGCGUGGGGAGCAAACAGG